This is a long non-coding RNA of Scomber japonicus (chub mackerel), 220 nucleotides long. RefSeq lists it as uncharacterized. The record is from RefSeq and is a predicted model, not a curated record. The transcript has 3 exons. Lineage: Eukaryota; Metazoa; Chordata; Actinopteri; Scombriformes; Scombridae.
GAGAUCCAAAGGAAGAGAAAUAAGCAAUGCAACAACUGCUGAAACAAGAUGAAUUAUAAAAUCAACCGGAAAAAUGCAGCUUUCACUUUUGGAGGUGUUGCAACAGUGAAAGCGGCAAGUUAUAUAAUUCCAUCUUAUGAAGCUGUGGUACUGACAACAAUAGUCUUAUUGAUCAUCCUCCUUGGAAAAUACAUGCUUUCUACAGUAGACAUCACCAAGG